Calliphora vicina (urban bluebottle blowfly) is the source of this 557-nucleotide long non-coding RNA. RefSeq lists it as uncharacterized. The transcript has 3 exons. The record is from RefSeq and is a predicted model, not a curated record. NCBI's taxonomy places the organism in Eukaryota, Metazoa, Arthropoda, Insecta, Diptera, Calliphoridae.
CGGUGAUCUUCGAUAUUUGCAGACAUAUUUAAUUUCAAUUUACUAUUGGGAUAAUUUAGCGGUAAUUAAACGGAAUUCUGGAAUUUCCAAAUGUUCCCACGGACUAUAAAACGUAUAACAACCAAAUGAUUUUCCUGAAUCCUUUUUUGGUGCGAUCUGACACUAUUAUUAUAACGUAUAAAUCUUUGCAUUUUGGUGACAUUUUGGCAAUACAGGGAAAACAUAAGUAACGAAUAAUAAAUAUAACUUAAAGUGAUCGUUGCUUUGAUAUUGGAAUUGCUUUGAAUUGAAUAUUAUAGAAUUAAUUAAAUUAAAAAUUAUAUUUCUUACCCCCAUUAACACGAAGCCAGGUUAGGGCCUAACUAAUAGUUAUACUGUCGGUUAAAAAUAUUUUUGUAUGAAAACUGUCAGUUUAACUGUUAGUUAAUACAUAACCAGACUUCGUGUUACUGGGGGUUAUACUGUCUACUAAAUUCUUUAAUUUAUUUUUUUAUUUUAUUAUUUAUUUAUUAUAAAGUAAAUUUACAAGAAAUACAAUUUUUUUUAAAAAAAAUUAA